This 60-nucleotide microRNA precursor is filed under the name Pristionchus pacificus. Its description in RNAcentral is "microRNA ppc-mir-2235d precursor". Lineage: Eukaryota; Metazoa; Nematoda; Chromadorea; Rhabditida; Neodiplogasteridae. The record is from miRBase by way of RNAcentral.
CCACUUAAACCUGCCGGUUCGAACUGUGAUAUGAAGUGUUCACCGGGGGCCUUGAGUAGC